AGCGAACGUUAGCGGCGGGCUUAACACAUGCAAGUCGAGCGAGAAAGUGGCUUCGGCCAUCAGUAAAGCGGCGGACGGGUGAGUAACACGUAGGUAAUCUUCCCUUGAGCGGGGGAAAACAGGCCGAAAGGCCUGCUAAUACCGCAUAAGUUCCAGAGGACUUCGGUCUUUUGGAGGAAAGCUAGGUAGCAAUAUCCGGCACUCGAGGAGGAGCCUGCGUCGCAUCAGCUAGUUGGUGGGGUAACGGCCUACCAAGGCGAAGACGCGUAGCUGGUCUGAGAGGAUGAUCAGCCACACUGGGACUGAGACACGGCCCAGACUCCUACGGGAGGCAG
RNAcentral lists this ribosomal RNA (335 nucleotides) under uncultured Pseudomonadota bacterium. RNAcentral's name for it is "bacterial SSU rRNA". It matches the Rfam family "Bacterial small subunit ribosomal RNA", at positions 29 to 351 of the family's 1533-position model. Lineage: Bacteria; Pseudomonadati; Pseudomonadota. The record is from RNAcentral.